This 528-nucleotide unclassified non-coding RNA is filed under the name Hevea brasiliensis (rubber tree). The record is from RNAcentral. Lineage: Eukaryota; Viridiplantae; Streptophyta; Magnoliopsida; Malpighiales; Euphorbiaceae.
AUCAUCUAGAAGUUGGCACAGGUUCAGGGGGGUGCAUCAGAGGAAGAGAUUUAGGCUUAAGGUUCCAAGCAUGAGGAGGCUCCUGAGAAGGAAUGUUAAGCUGGUUUGUGCUGCUUAUGAUGAAGUGAUGAAGAGACUUAAAAACGUCGAGCUUAUUUUGGUGAUCUUUGGGCUGGAAAAUGUCUGUUCUUGCAGGUGAAUUCCAAAUUUCCAAUUCAUUGAAGUGUUUUGAGAAAGCACGCGAUAGAACAACAGGCUUGCCUCCAAGCUACUCUUUGCAAGAAUUGGUUAAUUAUUCGACUUAGAAAUAGUAUGAUUACUUCUAAUUUUCUUUAUGUAUAAUAGAUGAUGCACAUGGUUCGUAGGCCCUUUUCCUUCUGGUUAUUUUAGGAUAGUCGGAGUGUAUGAACAUAAAAUUCCUGAUUGGUGUUAACUGCAAGGGAAUCCAAUUUACAAUUUUGCAAUGAUACAUCAUCAAUUAGCCUUGCUAUUUAUUAAUGAAACAAAAGAUUGGAAUUCCUAAUGCUG